This 468-nucleotide ribosomal RNA is filed under the name uncultured bacterium. RNAcentral describes it as "partial 16S ribosomal RNA". It matches the Rfam family "Bacterial small subunit ribosomal RNA", at positions 28 to 507 of the family's 1533-position model. The record is from RNAcentral.
GACGAACGCUGGCGGCGUGCUUAACACAUGCAAGUCGAACGGAAAGGCCCUGCUUUUGUUGGGUGCUCGAGUGGCUAACGGGUGAGUAACACGUGGGUAACCUUCCCUUGACUGUGUGAUAACUGCAGGAAACUGGGGCUAAUACCGGAUAGGAGCUCCUGCUGCAUGGUGUGGGUUGGAAAUUUUCGGCGGUUGGGGAUGGACUCGCGGCUUAUCAGCUUGUUGGUGGGGUAGUGGCUUACCAAGGCUUUGACGGGUAGCCGGCCUGAGAGGGUGACAGGCCCCAUUGGGCUUGAGAUAGCGCCCAGACUCCUACGGGAGGCAGCAGUGGGGAACAUUGCACAAUGGGCGGCAGCCUGAUGCAGCAACGCCGCGUGCGGGAUGACGGUCUUCGGGUUGUAACCCGCUUUCGCCUGUGACGAAGAGUGAGUGACGGUAAUGGGUAAAGAAGCACCGGCUAACUACGUG